GACGAACGCUGGCGGCGUGCCUAAUACAUGCAAGUCGAGCGAAGUUUUUCUGGUGCUUGCACCGGAAAAACUUAGCGGCGAACGGGUGAGUAACACGUAAAGAACCUGCCUUAUAGACUGGGACAACUAUUGGAAACGAUAGCUAAUACCGGAUAACAGCAUUAACUGCAUGGUUGAUGUUUGAAAGUUGGUUUUGCUAACACUAUGAGAUGGCUUUGCGGUGCAUUAGCUAGUUGGUGGGGUAAAGGCCUACCAAGGCGACGAUGCAUAGCCGACCUGAGAGGGGGAUCGGCCACACUGGGACUGAGACACGGCCCAGACUCCUACGGGAGGCAGCAGUAGGGAAUCUUCCGCAAUGGGCGAAAGCCUGACGGAGCAACGCCGCGUGAGUGAAGAAGGAUUUCGGUUCGUAAAGCUCUGUUGUUAGGGAAGAAGGAUUGUGUAGUAACUAUACACAGUAGAGACGGUACCUAACCAGAAAGCCACGGCUAACUACGUG
This 499-nucleotide ribosomal RNA is filed under the name uncultured bacterium. Its description in RNAcentral is "partial 16S ribosomal RNA". It matches the Rfam family "Bacterial small subunit ribosomal RNA", at positions 28 to 507 of the family's 1533-position model. The record is from RNAcentral.